ACUACUUGGUGCCAUACUUGAUUUCUCAGAUACUGCAAACAGGAAGAUUGCUGGAGCUUUUGUGCAGGAACUUUUACUUAGGCCUCUAGAAUAUGAAGUUGAUGAUGAUGGGAGUAAGAUUGUCAUAGGAGAUGGAGUUAGUCUUGGUGGGGAAAGGGACUGGGCGAGAGCAGUGUCAGAAUUGGCUAGAAAAGUGCAUGCUUCUACAGGUGAAUUUGAAGCAGUCGUCACCAGUGUAGUUGAGGAGCUUGCUCGUCCUUGCAGAGAUAGAACUGCUGAUUACAUGCACUGGAUACAUUGCCUUGCAGUGACUGGACUUCUCUUGGAGAACAUUGAUUCUCUGUGGAGCCUCCAUGGAAAAGCCAUUGAACCUUCUGAGUUACUACAUUCUUUGUUGCUUCCAGGGGUACGUGGGGUUCAGCUUUAAAGUUACAUGCUCGCGUAGUAUACACAAAUGAAUACAUGCUGGUAUUUAUAUCAAAUCAGUUUAUCUGGUCAGAUCAUUACUUUGGCAACUAUACCAUGUUUAGUGCUCUUUUUCUCUAUUUCAUGGAAUGCAGGUGAAACAGAUUCAUGUCGAUGUCCAAAGGGUUGCUACGAGAUGCCUUUGCCUCUACGGACUGUUAGAAAGGAGCCCAAGUGAAGAGCUAGUAAAGCAGUUACGCCUCUCCUUUAUUAAUGGCCCUGCUCCAGUCAGUAUCAUGGCUAGUAAGGCACUAAUUGAUCUUGCCACAUGGCAUGGUCCUCAGGCAGUUGACAAGGCCACUGGGAUGGAUCUGCAACAAUCUGGUGAUGAAAAAAAUGGAUUUAUUUCAGUGGAUUUAUCAAAUUUAAACGAGGAUGCAAACAUUGGAUUACUCGACCUAUUGUACUCUGGACUUGAUAAAAAUGAUUGGGGUGCCAAUGUUGAAGGUGAUGAUCAUGAAAGUGUUCAUGCUGUUCUUGGAGAGGGAUUUGCAAAGUUUCUUCUGCUCAGUGAGAAUUAUCCAACCAUAUCCACUUGGUUACAUCCUUUGAUUUUAUGCAAGCUCAUCAGCUUGUAUUUCUGUGAUGAAACGAAGGACCUUCAAAGGUUAAUUUUUGCAUUCUAAGUAAUACUGCCUUUUUCAUUUCUACUAGAUUUCCAAUUGCUACUUUGUAUAUGCAUGCAGGUUAAAGCAAUGCUUAUCUGUGUUCUUUGAGCAUUAUUCAGCACUCUCACGCAAUCACAAGGCAAGUUAUCCAUGGGGAAGUAUCCGAUACACCUAGGCUCAAUCUGAGUUUGCAGUCUAGUGAAAUUUCUGAUGUGCCAACUAUUUGUGUGAAUAUCUGUCUUUGCAGAAGUGUGUCUCCAGAGCUUUCAUUCCUGUCAUGCGAUCUAUGUGGCCAGGUAUUUAUGGUAAUCCAGGGGGAUCUAGCAUUGUGGUGUCGAAAUUGAGAAAGCGUGCAAUCCAAGCGUCACGUUUCAUGUUGCAAAUGAUGCAAACUCCUUUGUUCUCAAAAGAAUAUGUGGAAGAGCGAUCCAGUGAGAUAAGUUCCGAAAGCCUUUCUAGUUCAGUUCAGUUAUCACAUGACUUUGAUAGCGGGGAGGAGGGCCUUGCAAUUCGUAUUGCUUCCGAAGUAAUGUCCACCAUUUCUUUGUUUCUAGAUAUGCUCUGCAUUUAACUUUUGCAGACCUGACCUGUGUUACUUUGUUUCAGAGGAAAUUAACGUUUUUGCCACUGCUCUUUUUAUUGCUUCACCACCCCUGCUGUUUUGAUACCAUGACUUCUCAUAUUACUCUUAUCUGAAAUUGAAAUCCUUGAACUAACUUUCUUUUGAAUCCAACCUGUUUUGGUUAUGUUGUGCAUUAUGUAGGUGGCAAGCUGCCCGGAUAAGAAGAGCCCCGCUGGAAAAUCAUACCUCUCAGCGCUUUGUAAGAUAGCUUUGUUGAUACAGUUCCGAUCAUCAGAACAAGGGGCAAUCAAGUGCAUGAGGGUGCUGCUGAACAGCAUGAUCAUAUCUUCGUCAACUGACAAGGAAGCUGUUAAAGAACUAAUUCGAAUGGCAGCACACCUUAAAUCUCUUGAUGAUCACCCAGACGAAGAACUGUCCCAGGAGCAAGCUAAUGUUAUUUUUGGUAUGGCAUUUGUUCUUUCUUUUCUUCCAUUCUUGUGUUUCCCUGUCUCAGUCAUUUUGCUUUAUUGCAGAUGUCCAUUGUGGAUUUCUUUGUUAUAUGACAUGGGUAAUUCAAUCUCAAUGAAGUUUUCCCAAUGGCUAAAUUUUCAACUGUUGCUGUGAUAUCAGGGAAGCUAGGUUUGGAUGGUAGCCUUAAAAUGGAUACAUCAGCAGUGCCGCCACCGUCAGUGCUGCGAUCGGCCAGAACUGCUCCACAUAGGAGAAGAGUAAGGCGCGAAGCUUCUCCUGAUCCUGAUGAUGAAGAGAUUUCAUCCGUCCCUGAAGUUUUAACGACUCCUAGCUUGGCCAGCAUGCGCUCUCAGAGGGCAAGCAAGACGGCAGCAAUGAGUAAGAUAACCACCAAAACUACCUGUGAACUGUCGGACGAUGAAGAGGAUGGAGAAUCGAAUGUAACAUCUGAAGGGACUUCAGAUUAAUCUCUGGAUGGGCUUGCAGAAUGAAUCAUCACAAGUUACUGUGACCGUUACUGUAAUGCAUGUACAAACAACUGUCACGUCU
This 2655-nucleotide long non-coding RNA is filed under the name Elaeis guineensis (African oil palm). RNAcentral describes it as "long non-coding RNA (EGUI_LNC022557)". The record is from RNAcentral. Lineage: Eukaryota; Viridiplantae; Streptophyta; Magnoliopsida; Arecales; Arecaceae.